UGGGGAAUAUUGCGCAAUGGGCGAAAGCCUGACGCAGCAACACCGCGUGAGGGAUGACGGCCUUCGGGUUGUAAACCUCUUUCAGCUCCGACGAAGCGAAAGUGACGGUAGGAGCAGAAGAAGCACCGGCUAACUACGUGCCAGCAGCCGCGGUAAUACGUAGGGUGCAAGCGUUGUCCGGAAUUAUUGGGCGUAAAGAGCUCGUAGGCGGUCCGUUGCGUCUGCCGUGAAAACCCGGAGCUCAACUCCGGGCCUGCGGUGGAUACGGGCGGACUAGAGUCCGGUAGGGGAGACUGGAAUUCCUGGUGUAGCGGUGGAAUGCGCAGAUAUCAGGAGGAACACCGGUGGCGAAGGCGGGUCUCUGGGCCGGAACUGACGCUGAGGAGCGAAAGCGUGGGGAGCGAACAGGAUUAGAUACCCUGGGUAGUCCACGCCGUAAACGGUGGGCGCUAGGUGUGGGGAUCG
Molecule: ribosomal RNA, 465 nt
Filed under: uncultured bacterium
Lineage: Bacteria
Description: bacterial SSU rRNA
Rfam family: Bacterial small subunit ribosomal RNA
Source: RNAcentral